UUUUUUUUUCUUUUUUGUCUUUUUGCCCUUUCUUGGGCCACUCUCGCGGCAUAUGGAGGUUCCCAGGCUAGGGGUCUAAUCGGAGCUGUAGCUGCCAGCCUAUGCCAGAGCCACAGCAACAUGGGAUCCGAGCCAUGUCUGCGACCUACACCACAGCUCACAGCAAUGCCAGAUUGUUAACCCACUGAGCAAGGGCAGGGAUCAAACCUGCAACCUCAUGGUUCCUAGUCGGAUUCAUUAACCACUGCGCCACGACGGGAACUCCUGGUCUCUGUUUUUAAUGAAGGUUAAUGCCAAUCCUUGGACUUUCAAAGCCCCUCCCUUUACACUCCUGGUGGCUGGACAUGUCACACCCCUGCUUGAAAACCUUGGCAGCUCAGCCCUUUCCCGCCGUGUCUCCGGACCCACGCCCUACUCAGCUGAGCCUUGUCACCUCUCCUUGACGUGGCCACAUGUUCUCACCUCUGAGCCUUUGCCAUUUAGUCCUGCUAAGAAUGACUCUUCUUCCUUUGUCUGCCCAACUCAGGACCGCCCAGUCUUAAAGGCUCGGUUAGAGAAAGCUUCCAAAGCUCCCAGAGUGAGUCACCGUCUCCUCUAGGCCCCCACUGUCAGACUGUUUUCCUUUCCAUCUGCACGAACCACCCUGCAUUGUGGGCCACCGUGCGGCCACCUGCUCAUGCGUCCCCGCUGGACGGCGAGCUCCUUGGAAGCAAGGCCUGACUCUCAUCCACCUCAACUCCUGAAAAAGUUCUUCCCCUUCUUCUGUCCUUCUUUCCCAUUUCCUUCCCCUUCUCCCUUCACCCUGUCUGUCCUUCAAAAAAUAUUUAUUCAGUCUUGCAAUGUGCCAAGCCAGAUGCUGGGGUUCAAGGAUGAAGAAAAAAGAGUCCUAGUAGUCAUGGAGUUUAGUGGAGGAUGUAGAUAGAUGAGCAAAUUCUCAUACAGUUAAUCAACAGAUUGGUUAGCACCAUGGUAAGUGCUCUGCUGGAGAACCACGGCAGGCUGGGUCAUACAGGCCAGGACUACCCGAGCUUUCUUAAGAGGCACCUGAUGGAGUUCCCUAGUGGCUCAGCAGGUUAAGGACCAGCAUUGUCACUGCUGUGGCGUGGGUUUGAUCCUUGACCUGGGAACUUCUGGAUGCUUCAGGUGUGGCCCCAUCCCCCCAAAAGAAGCACCUGAUGGUGAAGAGUAGGUUGCUAUCAUCUCUCUUCCAAUCUUUCCUCGCAAUCCAGCAUCACGUUGGCUUCACUGUCAGAACAUCCCUGUCGUCAGGGCAGUUUUCAGCUUGGGGUCCUUUAUGAACUCCAGAUUUUUUUUACCUAUUCUUGCUCAGACUCAUUCCUUCCCUCCACUGGGCACUUAUAGGGGAUCUACUAGCCCGGUUUAGACCAGAUCAGUGGGGCAGUGAGGCCGUUUAUAACGGAGCACAGGAGAGCGCUAAGCCUAACUCAGCUCAGCAGGGUCAGUAUCAUGAAUGACCUCAGUCAAGUCUGCAAGCAACCCUGGGGAGUGAGGGCCUCUUUGACUUGGACAGAAACCAAACUGGAAACGCUUUGGCUGCUAGAGGCUGGGAGGAGAGAAAGAAGCACGAUGCCUAAUUCAUUCUCCUGGGCAAGGGCAGAUAGAGAGUGGACACCAUGUUUCCAGGGUCUCUGUAGGGGUGGAAAUGGGCUAGUGCACAUCUUUGUCAAGACACACACAGUGAAGACUAGCGCAUCUGGCUGCCUUGACACCACCUGCCUGUGGUACUCCGCAACCCACUCCCCACCUGUUCCUUGGUUUGUCCUGAUAACUCAAGACCGUGGCACUCACCCACGCCUAUUCUUCGUGGACAUGAAUUAGCGCCUGAGAUUUGGAGAAUCUCCCAAAUGAUGAUGAUGCUUCUUAGGUGCAAACUUUUUAUUAUCCACACGAGCAAAAAAUGCUCAUUGAACACCCAGCGUGUUCAAAACACUGUUGGGUUCAGUGGCGUAAUGAAAUCACCCUGAUUUUGAUUACUCUAAGCUAAUCACCCCAGCUCCCUUAAUCUCAAUACUUUAGGUAUAAAGAGGGGAAUUAAAGAUGCAGCCCCUGGAGUUCCCGCUCUGGUGCAGGAGGUUAAGGACCCGGCGUUGUCACAGCUGUGGCUUGAAUUCAGUCUCUGGCCCAGGAACUUCCAUGUGCCUCAGGUGCAGCCAAAGGAAAAAAAAAAAAAAAAAGAUGCAGCCCCCAUCCUCAAGGAACUUACAACUGCAUGGAACUAACCAGAGGGCAACCCAGUCCCUCUCCUCCUCUGGGCCUCGGGCUCCUGCUCUGUAAUAACAAGGAGGAUCAGACUCCCUGACCCCGAGUCCUAUCCAGGCCUCAGAUAAUUCCAGUGCAGGUUCUACACAUAAGGUCACCGGGCGACGUGCAGGAAUCAUUUAAGUCCCCUUAAGACAGGUGCCAGGAAACCUACCAAUUGGAUAAUUAGGUUUGCCCCGACCCCUCAUGCCUUGAGGGAGCAGACGUGGACCUCAGCUGCCCUCCCCACAGCGGCUGGCGGAAGCGCUGGGCGCCGCAGGGGUCCCCUGGUGGAAUGUGGCCAUGGUGGGCGCUGGGACAGAGGGCUCGGCUGACAGAUCUAAGGCUGCCGCCUGCCACUGGGUCUCCAUAGGGCGGCCUGCAGGCCUCCCUCCUAUGGAAUGACGAGCCCCGCUCCCCCCUACCUGGCGUUUAAUCUUUAAUGCAGCCCCAGCUGCCCUCGGGCAGGACCCAUCAACCCACCCGCUCUGAUAAAAGCGAUAAUUAGCUCUUUUUCAACUUUUCACUUCUCCCCCCCCCUUCCACUCUGAUGUGUGAGCAUUGGGAGAAUUCCAGCUAAUGGGCCUGCCCUCAGCCAAUUCUCGGGCCCAUGCAGGCCGGAAUGCACGGGGUCAUUAGCCGGGCCUCCCGGGCAGGGGCCUGUGCUCAGGACGUGCUCGGGGUAGAGGCCCCGGCCUCGGCGGGGCAGACUUGCCCAGACCUGCUGGAUCCUACCUUCCUCAGCAGCAGCCCCUUUCUGUACCACGGCAGAGGCCACUGGGAGGUAGCCUUAGGCUCCCAUGGGGCCAGGCCGAGAGGACACGGGGCCAUCCGUCCCCAGGCAUCGCCCUGCUUCCAGGGCAGGGAGCCCAGCCGGGGUUCAGCCACCGGUCAGUGCAGAGGCUGCUGGCUGGGAUCCCCCCAGCCCCGCCCCAUCAGUGACUUAUAAUAACUAACUUGUGCACGGUGCCGGGCCCUUAUGAAGUGCUUCCAGAUCCCUCAGCUCAGAGGUAGCCACAGCCGAGGGCUUAACCAUGCAGGGUCAGGAGCUGCACCUGAGGGGUGUGGGGCAGUGCUGGCUGAGCUCCUCUUCCCUUCUUCUCUGACCAGUCUGGGGCCAGUGCCCCCAGACUCAUUGGUCGCCUAGUGCCAGAGGCUGCCUGCACCUAGAACUGUGGGGCCUCCAUCACUAAUGCCACAGGGUUGCAGGCACUCAGACUGCCCACGGCUAUCAGAGUCGAGAGCCACUUCCUCCCAGGGUCAUAAACAGGGCCACUGGUGCCUACAAUCAGAGGGUACAGUUUGCCAGGGUUACCUUCACCUAGAAAACCAGGGCUAACUUUGCCUGGUACAGGUGACACAUGGAACCACCGAGACCCAUAGGACACAGGCACCUAGAACCCCAGAAAAGCCCACCUAGGGCUGCCAUAAACUAGAACUGUAGAGUCACCAUGAGCCACAGAGUCAUGGAGGUGUCACUCAUCCUUGGACAUAAAUUGGCCUGAGGAACUCUGUAGUAAGCUCAUGCUGGUACUUAGUGAGUGGCUUUUCCCAGGCAGGCUCCGGGAAUACCUCCCUUCACUGACUCUGCUCGGCAAUGAACUACCGCGGAGACUUCUGCGCCGCUUCUUCCACUGCCUGAAUCGAAGGGUUUCCUUGCUCAGGUAGACCCUGCAUUCUCACCGUGAACUUUCCAGCGGGAAAAAAAGAGGUGGCAUGUGUCACAUAGGUGGAUCCUGCACACCCAGCAUUCAGCCCUGAGAGGGGCCUGUCCAGCAAGGAAGGGAGUGCAUGACCUAACACAGCCUCCUCUUUUUCAGAAAGUACUUUGGGGAGUAGGAUCAUAGGACUUCCUGGAGGAGGCAGCACUAAUGCCCCAGAGACAAAGCAGAACAUUAUCAGGGACUGAGCCCUGGGUCCAGGGCUUCCCUAAAUCACACCUUCUCCAUCCCACCCACCCGAGGGCAAUGUCUCCCCGUAAUUUUCAGCCUUGGACAGUACUGUGAUUUUGCUGAGAUACCCAGGGAGAGCCUGGGAAAGGACUUCUCUCUUUUCUUUUUUUUCUUCUCUUUUUUUCUUGUCUUUUUAGGGCCUCGCUUGUGGCAUAUGGAGGUUCCCAGGCUAGGGGUCGAAUCGGAGCUGUAGCCUACACCACAGCCAUAGCAACGCUAGGUCCGAGCCACAUCUGAGACCUACACCACCAGCUCACGGCAAUGCUGUAUCCUUAACCCACUGAGCGAGGCCAAGGAUCAAACCUGAGUCCUCAUGGAUACUAGUCAUAUUUGUUUCCACUGAGCCGCGAUGGGAACUCCGACUCCUCUCUUUUCACUUCCCUCCCCUCCCCCAGCCAGCAAAUGCACAGCUCCAGAAUAUCACAAGUGUGCACAGAAAAAGGUCCCUCCCCCUGGUGUGUGAGGACCGCACAGGUGAGAAGCAUGGGGAUGACAGGGUUGGAGGAGAAUUAGAGAUUAAAGCAAAGAGGAAGGUAAGGAAGCAGGUGAAGCAGAGAGACAACCAAACAAAAAUAAAAGUCAUGCUGAGGGUUUUGCCUUGUGGAACCUUAAUAUUCAGGAAGCUGUAGAGAAUUGUAAAUUUCAAUAGUAAUAAUAAGAGCACUGAGCCUCCCUCAGGUGUUGCGACCCUCCUACACUGCUGGUGGGAACAUAAAAUGGUACAGCUGCUUUGGAAAACACUGACAGUUCCACAAAAUGUUACACGUAGAGUUACCAUAUGACUCAACAAUCACACUCCUGGGUAUUUACCCAAGAGAACUGAAACACAUGUCUACGCAAAAACUGUACAAGAAUGUUCCUUGCAGCAUUAUGCCUAAUACUGGAAAGCUGGAAACCCAGUGAUCACCGACUGGUGAAUGGAUAGGCAAAUGUGGUCCAUCCUUGCGACGGAAUAUUAUUAGGCCAUCAAAAAAAGAAGUACCACAACAACUAUGGAGAACAGUAUGGAGAUACCUUAGAAAGCUAUACACAGAACUACCAUAUGACCCAGAAAUCCCACUCUUGGGUAUAUAUCCGGACAAAGCUUUCCUUAAAAAAGACACAUGCACCCCCAUGUUCAUUGUGGCACUAUUCACAAUAGCCAAGACGUGGAAACAACCCAGAGGUCCAUCGACAGAUGAUUGGAUUAGGAAGAUGUGGUAUAUAUACACAAUGGAAUACUACUCAGCCAUAAAAAAGAAUGAAAUAAUGCCAUUUGCAGCAACAUGGAUGGAACUAGAGACUCUCAUACUGAGUGAAGUAGGUCAGAAAGAGAAAGACAAAUACUAUAUGAUAUCACUUAUAUCUGGAAUCUAUAAUAUACGGCACAAAGGAACUUUUCCACAGAAAAGAAAAUCAUGGACUUGGAGAAUAGACUUGUGGUUGACAGGGGGGAGGGGGAGGGAGUGGGGUGGAUUGGGACCUUGGGGUUAACAGAUGCAAACUAUUGCCUUUGGAAUGGAUUAGCAAUGAGAUCCUGCUGUGUAGCCCUAGGAACUGUGUCUAGUCACUUACGAUGUUGCAUAAUAAUGUGAGAAAAUAGAAUGUGUACUUGUAUGUAUAACCGGAUCACCAUGCUGUACAGUAGAAAAAAAAUUGUAUUGGGGAAAUAACAAUUUAAAAAAUAGAGAUAUUCACCCCCCCCCAAAAAAAAGUACUAAUGCAUGAUACAAUAUGGUGAGCCUGGAAAAUAUCCAGCUGAGUGGAAGGGUAUUUCCACCUAUUAUAUGAUUCCAUUUAUAUGAAAUGGCCAGGAUAGAAAAGUCCACAGAAGCAUAAGAUAGAGCAAUAGUUGCCUGGAAAUAGGGGGAGGAGACAAUGCGAGUGGGAGUAAUUGCUAAUGUAUAACCUUAACUCCACCUUCUACUAGUCCAGGGACCUUGAUGAGACUCAGAGUUCUCAUCUGUAAAAUGGGCACACUGAUCUUUAUGUUACAUAGACACUGCUUGGAGUGCGUGGGCAACAGUACUAUUGGAGAUGCUUCCUUUACACCCUCCUCCCAUCGUUUUCUAUUUCUCAGAAGCGCCAAUCACCCUUAAGAAGGAGAAGUGUUUAUGAGAGACUCUUACACCUGCUUCUGUCAAUUCACUCCUCUGUGAUCAGCAUUGCAGGACAGGGCAGGAUGGGGAGACCACAGCUGUAGCUAAUUUCUGAUAGAAGCAUAUUUGGAAGCAUAUUUAUGUUUUUUCUUUUUUUCUUUCUUCCUUCCCUCCCUCCCUGCUUUCUUCUUUCCUUUUCAUCCAAAAAAGGGACUGGAGCCAUCCUCGAUUCAUUUAUUGUUGACUGCUAUCUAUAGGCCAAGCUCUGUGUUCUAGGAUAGAAUAUGGGCUAAGACAGUACAGGGUCUAUCCUUCAUGGGGCUUCUACUCUGGUGAGGAAAGGCAGAUAAUGAAGAUGCUAACCUAAACAAAUAACCCCAUCCAAAAAUGGGUAGAAGAUCUAAACAGACAAUUUUCCAAAGAUAUACAGAUGGCCAAAAAACACACGAAAAGAUGUUCAACAUCACUCAUUAUUAGAGAAAUGCAAAUCAAAACCACUAUGAGGCACCACCUUACACCGGCCGGAAUGCCAUCAUUAAAAAGUCUACAAACAGUAAAUGCUGGAGAGGGUGUGGAAAAAAGGGAACCCUCUUACACGGUUGGUGGGAAUGUAAAUUGUUGCAGCCACUGCGGAAAACAGUAUGGAGAUUCAUCAGAAAACUAAAAAUAGAAUUACCAUUUGAUCUGGCAAUCCCACUCCUGGGCAUCUACUCAGAGAGAAAACCAUGACUCGAAAAGACACAUGUACUCCGGUGUUCACUGCAGCACUACAUACAAUAGCCAAGACAUAGAAACAACCUAAAUGUCCAUCGACAGAGGAGUGGAUCUAGAAGAUGUGGUACAUGUACACAAUGGAAUGUUACUCAGCCAUUAAAAGGGAAGAAAUAAUGGCAUUUGGAGCAACACGGAUGGAUCUAGAAAUUAUCAUGUUAAGUGAAGUUAGCCAGCCAGUGAGACACC
Molecule: long non-coding RNA, 7249 nt
Filed under: Sus scrofa (pig)
Lineage: Eukaryota; Metazoa; Chordata; Mammalia; Artiodactyla; Suidae
Description: lncRNA (ENSSSCG00005041008.1)
Source: RNAcentral